AUACGUAGGUGGCAAGCGUUGUCCGGAUUUACUAGGCGUAAAGAGUAUGUAGGCGGAUAUUUAAGUCAGAUGUGAAAUUCCCGGGCUUAACCUGGGCGCUGCAUUUGAUACUGGAUAUCUAGAGUGUGGGAGAGGAAAGCGGAAUUCCUAGUGUAGCGGUGAAAUGCGUAGAGAUUAGGAAGAACACCAGUGGCGAAGGCGGCUUUCUGGACCAUAACUGACGCUGAGAUACGAAAGCGUGGGGAGCAAACAGGAUUAGAUACCCUGGUAGUCCACGCCGUAAGCGAUGGGUACUAGGUGUGGGUAGUUCACACUAUCCGUGCCGCAGCAAACGCAAUAAGUACCCCGCCUGGGGAGUACGGCCGCAAGGUUGAA
Molecule: ribosomal RNA, 375 nt
Filed under: uncultured bacterium
Lineage: Bacteria
Description: bacterial SSU rRNA
Rfam family: Bacterial small subunit ribosomal RNA
Source: RNAcentral